RNAcentral lists this transfer RNA (89 nucleotides) under Enterobacter cloacae. RNAcentral's name for it is "tRNA-Asp". RNAcentral also lists the same sequence under 2 other names. The record is from RNAcentral. Lineage: Bacteria; Pseudomonadati; Pseudomonadota; Gammaproteobacteria; Enterobacterales; Enterobacteriaceae.
ACUUUAUGGUACGGGUUGUUGGUAUUUUUUUGUCUGUCGAAAGAGAAGACAACGUCAUCGGCGUUCAGCGUGCGAGUCGGUUUAAAAUC